RNAcentral lists this ribosomal RNA (421 nucleotides) under uncultured bacterium. RNAcentral's name for it is "bacterial SSU rRNA". It matches the Rfam family "Bacterial small subunit ribosomal RNA", at positions 355 to 774 of the family's 1533-position model. The record is from RNAcentral.
UAAGGAAUAUUGGUCAAUGGACGCAAGUCUGAACCAGCCAUGCCGCGUGAAGGAUGAAGGUCCUCUGGAUUGUAAACUUCUUUUAUCUGGGACGAAAACGGGAUUUUUAUCUCAAUUGACGGUACCAGAGGAAUAAGCACCGGCUAACUCCGUGCCAGCAGCCGCGGUAAUACGGAGGGUGCGAGCGUUAUCCGGAUUUACUGGGUUUAAAGGGUGCGUAGGUGGGCUUAUAAGUCAGUGGUGAAAUCUCCGAGCUUAACUUGGAAACUGCCGUUGAUACUAUAGGUCUUGAAUUAUCUGGAGGUAAGCGGAAUACGUCAUGUAGCGGUGAAAUGCUUAGAUAUGACAUAGAACACCAAUUGCGAAGGCAGCUUACUACAUAUAAAUUGACGCUGAGGCACGAAAGCGUGGGGAUCAAACA